Molecule: long non-coding RNA, 222 nt
Filed under: Pelobates cultripes (western spadefoot toad)
Lineage: Eukaryota; Metazoa; Chordata; Amphibia; Anura; Pelobatidae
Source: RNAcentral
AUAUUGUUUUUCAUAACUGUUUCUUUAAGCAAUAACCUCAGUGCAUAAUAUGUUUGCGCCAUUUUGUCCCAGACUAAUUACAAUAACAAUAAUGCAUAAACAAGCUUCAAGGCUAUGCUACGACUCUUGCAGUACACAAUAUACUGUGGUAACCCCAAGUUAAUGGAACUUCCCCAAAUCCGGGAAUCUCCCGCGACUGUACACUUACGACUUAGUAUAAAC